This 833-nucleotide ribosomal RNA is filed under the name uncultured bacterium. RNAcentral's name for it is "bacterial SSU rRNA". It matches the Rfam family "Bacterial small subunit ribosomal RNA", at positions 29 to 869 of the family's 1533-position model. The record is from RNAcentral.
AUGACGCUAGCGCAGCUACACAUGCAAGUCGAGGGGUAUAGGUUUUCGGACCUAGAGACCGGCGCACGGGUGCGUAACGCGUAUGCAAUCUACCUUUUACAGAGGGAUAGCCCAGAGAAAUUUGGAUUAAUACCUCAUAGCAUUGCAGAAUGGCAUCAUUCAGCAAUUAAAGUCACAACGGUGAAAGAUGAGCAUGCGUCCCAUUAGCUAGUUGGUAUGGUAACGGCAUACCAAGGCGACGAUGGGUAGGGGUCCUGAGAGGGAGAUCCCCCACACUGGUACUGAGACACGGACCAGACUCCUACGGGAGGCAGCAGUGAGGAAUAUUGGACAAUGGGCGCAAGCCUGAUCCAGCCAUGCCGCGUGCAGGAUGACGGUCCUAUGGAUUGUAAACUGCUUUUGCACAGGAAGAAACAACUCUACGUGUAGAGUCUUGACGGUACUGUGAGAAUAAGGAUCGGCUAACUCCGUGCCAGCAGCCGCGGUAAUACGGAGGAUCCAAGCGUUAUCCGGAAUCAUUGGGUUUAAAGGGUCCGUAGGCGGUCUUAUAAGCCAGUGGUGAAAUCUCCCCGCUCAACGGGGAAACGGCCAUUGAUACUGUAGGACUUGAAUUAUUAGGAAGUAACUAGAAUAUGUAGUGUAGCGGUGAAAUGCUUAGAGAUUACAUGGAAUACCAAUUGCGAAGGCAGGUUACUACUAAUGGAUUGACGCUGAUGGACGAAAGCGUGGGUAGCAAACAGGAUUAGAUACCCUGGUAGUCCACGCCGUAAACGAUGAAUGCCAGCCGUUAGUGGGUUUACUCACUAGUGGCGCAGCUAACGCUUUAAGCAUUC